Molecule: transfer RNA, 90 nt
Filed under: Kwoniella mangroviensis CBS 8507
Lineage: Eukaryota; Fungi; Basidiomycota; Tremellomycetes; Tremellales; Cryptococcaceae
Also listed under: 2 other names
Description: tRNA-Gly
Rfam family: tRNA
About the family: Transfer RNA (tRNA) molecules are approximately 80 nucleotides in length.
Source: RNAcentral
ACACCGUUGGUGAAACGGUAUCAUGCAUCGUUGCCACUAGGACUCAACUCCUGAUUCGAUGCGGCAAGGGUUCGACUCCCUUACGGUGUA